UACGGGGGGAGCAAGCGUUGUUCGGAUUUACUGGGCGUAAAGGGCGCGUAGGCGGCGCCGCAAGUCGACUGUGAAAUCUCCGGGCUUAACCCGGAAAGGUCAGCCGAUACUGCGGGGCUAGAGUGCAGAAGGGGCAACUGGAAUUCUCGGUGUAGCGGUGAAAUGCGCAGAUAUCAGGAGGAACACCUAUUGCGAAGGCAGCUCGCUGGGACGUUACUGACGCUGAGACGCGAAAGCGUGGGGAGCAAACAGG
Molecule: ribosomal RNA, 253 nt
Filed under: uncultured bacterium
Lineage: Bacteria
Description: partial 16S ribosomal RNA
Rfam family: Bacterial small subunit ribosomal RNA
Source: RNAcentral